Daphnia carinata is the source of this 196-nucleotide long non-coding RNA. RefSeq lists it as uncharacterized. NCBI's taxonomy places the organism in Eukaryota, Metazoa, Arthropoda, Branchiopoda, Diplostraca, Daphniidae. The transcript is spliced from 3 exons. The record is from RefSeq and is a predicted model, not a curated record.
UCAACAUGCAAAAAAUUGACGAAAAAAAACGCAGCUUAUACGAGGAUGAACUACUACGGAAAAUGUUGGAAUGCGAUCCUACCAAGAGAAUUACGUCUAAACAAGUUGUCGAUCAACUAAAAUCCAUCAAGGAAAAGCUUGCUAGAAAAGAGGCAGAAUUACUUCAACUAUGUGCUCGUGACUCCCAAGUGGAACU